This is a long non-coding RNA of Numida meleagris (helmeted guineafowl), 1328 nucleotides long. RefSeq lists it as uncharacterized. Lineage: Eukaryota; Metazoa; Chordata; Aves; Galliformes; Numididae. The transcript is spliced from 3 exons. The record is from RefSeq and is a predicted model, not a curated record.
AUACAUUUCCAGUUGUUUCUGGGUCAAAGGGCUGCAUUUCCACAAGCUGUUUCAGCUACACUUUGUGAAGUCAGAAUUCUAUUUGACUCUCCUGGAAACUUCUAAAUGGACUUCUUACUGAGUAACACUUCGUUCAGUGAGAUGGAAUAUUCACAAAGCUUCACUAAAUCGUUUACUGCAUACAAGCUGAUUACGUAUCAAAAUAUCACUCAAAGAAUUUUGAGAAGUGUUCAAAUGGAACUCAGAAUGCAGAGGCAGAGCUGGAUAUCUGCCCAUUUUGCAGCAGUUCACCUGGCUCCUCAGCAGCAGGGAGCUGGAAACAAGGACGCGCAAGUUUCCUACCACCUGAGCUCCAGCCUGCCUCUCCCUGGACAGACUCCUGCUCACCAAGGAGCACCAGGAGCCCACAAAGCUGCCACAGGAAGCUGAUCUAAUUCUUUUAGUUUCAUUAGCAUCCCCACUGAUCAACAGCAGCAAAACUGUCAGACCCCUUCAGCUUCACACAGCAGCUGGCAGGGAUCCUGGGGAACACAAAGAGUUUCUUAAGCAAAAUACUAUAUGAUUUUAAUUGUAUAUUCAGAGGGAGAGGAGCCAUUUUGUAACCCAGUUUAGAAUUUUCAUUGUUUUGGGAUGAAAACUGGUGAGUAUAGAAAUUUGCUUUCAACGGCAGCUCUACCAGAACCAACUGAAUCACUCCUAUUUGGAUGCAUCCAUUUACGGCAUUUCCUGCAAAGGAUGAGGAACUGGCUACAAGCUAUACAUUCAGAUCUACACUCAGGGUUUCACCAACAAACCUUUCAGCCAGAGGAGAAGCCCUCCUGUGGUGAACAAGCUUCUCAUAGAAACAGUGGUUAGAUAUGAUCCAAUGAAGUUUAAGAACUAUUUCUCAAACAGACCAGCCCCUGCAUGGGAUGAGCCACAUGGAUACAGGUGAAGCUUAUUCCAAAGCCACCCACACACUGCACAAGGUACUCACUCUGUGGCAAUAGGACACCCUCUUAUUGCAUGUGUGAAGCAAUUAACAUUAUACAGUCCUGCUCUGGACUGAUUUUCCAAUAAGAGCAGAUGGCAUAGUCAAGAAGACUUCAAAAUAGAGUAAUUUAAUAAUCCAAGUAUUUUAGAGAAGAAAGCUUCCUUCAUUUUUAUAAACUUCUGGCCCUUGCAGGACUGAAAGAGUACAUUAUGGAACCACUGUGAGAGAAAAGAAUUUAAAUCUGAUUUUAACAUAGUUGUGCCUGUGUCUAUAUGUAUGAAUAACAUCUCCUCCAUCUUUCAUGAAACAAGGUUUACCUGACUGUGUUCUAAAGCAGUGUGUGAGCACUGUAUGU